Molecule: small RNA, 2553 nt
Filed under: Vigna angularis var. angularis
Lineage: Eukaryota; Viridiplantae; Streptophyta; Magnoliopsida; Fabales; Fabaceae
Description: Non-protein coding transcript
Source: RNAcentral
GGUAUUUUGAAUUAUUAAAAAAUCACAGGAAAAACAUAUUGAAAGAAAAACAAAACUAAAAUGUGGCAGAGAAGAGAAAGAAACAAAUGGGCGCAAAGGAGUAGAGCAAAAAGAGAAAAAAGUGACAAACUUUUUUGUCAUGUCAGCACAAAGUUAACGUCAUUUCUACAUACUUGAUUAAGGCAAAUUUUAUAAGAUGUGGACGCAAUUGAAACUUUUUUAAAAGGUAGGACUAACUUGACAUACUGCAACGAAACUAAGGACAAAUAAAACAAUUAAACCUAAAUUUAAUGGACUAAAUAAUAAAAUAAAACAUGAACUAAAGGAAAAAUGUUUAAAUAUUAAUAUACUUAUCAUCUCCACCUAUACACCUAUCUCUUUUUUCCUUAGAUAAACUUCAUUCCUUCUAUCUGGUCCUAAUUGAGGCAGAAAAUUAUCUAGAUUCUAACAGUCUGAACAUAGUAACUCCAAACUUCAUUACUGACAAUGAGGUAUCUAUAAAGACAAAAUUGAGUCACAUAGAUAACAAGUCACUAACCAUUUGGGAUAGCAAGAGCAUAAAGAAGCUAUAAUAUCCUAUAUUCCUGUAGUUGGACUGAAAAGUUAGAUACAAUCUAAUUGAACAGGAAACUAUUUGAAUAAGUGACUAUUAUAAGUCUAAGAUGAGUUUGAGGUUCACCUAUUUGACAUGUAGAUUAUGAAUAUAGACACCCCGGAUUAAAAUUAUCACAUGAUACUCCAACAUUAGCUUAUUGUGACAAAACUCUGAUCCAAUACCUAGAUACUAGUUGUACUCUUCUCCAAUAAGGAUUGGAGUUCACUCCGACAAAAUACAUAGACAUUUGAUGAAAUUAAUUAUUAUGCAAAUCCAACUCCGAUAUGAUUGUAGAACAACAAACAAUAUUUAUGGUAUUGUAUCUAAGUUUUAUCUAUCGUUUAACAAACGUAAAUGUUGAUACUCCACUGUCUUAAAAGAAGUUUAGAAUGGAAGUUUUGUUUGCACAAGCUCUGGUUCAGUUCCUGUAUAUUUAUUUUUGUUUUUAUCCUUGCAAUAGUAGUUUUUUCAUGGCACAAUAUCUUUCUCAUGCAAAUAUUUAAAUUCACUUUUAGUCCUUGAAAUUUUUUGUUUGUUUAUGGUCCAUGUAAACAUGUCACUUAUGCGUUUAGCCUCUGAUAACAACAUUAUGACAUCGACAAGACACAAUCACCGUAAACAUUUUUGUAAUAGAGCAUGACACCAAAGACUAAAACCAACAUUCUAAAACUUCAAAAGCAAACUUAAAAAACAUUAGGAACUAAAUAAAAAAUGCUAAUACAGUUGGAAGUCUCACAUCGAUUAGAGAUAAGGCCAAUUUAUAAUAUAUAAGAGGGUGCAAACCUCAACUUACAAGUCGGUUUUGUGGGGUUGAGUUAGGCCUAAAGUCCACUUCUUAACAUGGUAUCAGAGUCAGGUUAGAGCCUAACCUAACGAUAUUUGUUGUUUGUUGGGCAUAUUGUUCAACCCGAUAUCGGGCAAUUAUUGGACCACCUAUUAAUGUCUAGUCUCACGCUCGAGAUGUAUAUACAUCAGCGUGAGGGGGUGUGUUGGAACCGACAAGAGAUAAGGUCAAUUUAUGAUAUAUAAGUACGUGCAAACCUCACCUUAUAAGCCGAUUUUGUGAGGUUGAGUUAGACCUAAAAUCUCCUUCUUAACAAAUACUAUAGAGACCAAAAAUAUAUUUAAUCAUUUUUUUUUUCAAUUACAUGAAGUUCUUUUUUCCUUUUUCUUGACUAAUGAAAAAGCUACAAUUGCUAUGCAGGCCCUUCGAAAUUAUAACUGAUGUUGGGCAACUACUUUUCACAUCUCAAUUUUUUGAAACACCCACUAUGUCCCGUGUAAUUUAUAUUUUGUGCUUCUUUUAGCGGGGUAAUCUUGUGAAGUGCUGGUACAGUAGUAAUGGUGAAGUGCUUCAAUAGAUGCAGGAAACGGUUUCACUCUUCCAGAUUAAUCAAAGAUUCAGCAUACAUUUGGAUUGAAACCAUUAGGGCUUUCAUCCGGAUUAAUCAAAUAUUGAAAUCAAAGAAAAUUAAUUUCCGGAUUCAACAAUCCAAAAGUGAGAAAAAAGAGUUAAUUCCAGAAUAAUCAAUCCAGAAGAAAAACAUUAUUCCGGAUUAUGCAAUCCAUAAUUAGAUAGGUUCUUUAAUCAAGAACCUAUAGAAAACACACUUUACACACGCGGAACACACAACUCAGAACUGUAUAACCUCUUUGUAUUACCAAACAAUCAAGAAUACAUGAUACAAUUGGAUACAGAGAGCUUAACCUCCCCCUACAAGACAAAAGAGUUCUUGUCAACUAAUAAGACUCCAAAACUAACUCUCCCCAAACACCCCAACCCCUUUUAUACAGACUUCUAGCCACCUUUCCUAACUGCCUUGGCAGUUAGGCUGUGUAACGUUUCUCCUUCUUCUAUAUACAAGUAGUUUCCUAUCAUAAUGUAUUUCUGGUUUGCACAAUCCAAAAAUGAAAAUUCAAUUCCAAAUUGUGUAAUCCAUAAUGUAUUUAUAGAUUAG